CUUCAUAAAGAAAUAGUUUUAAGGGAGGACUUCAAAGAGUAUUUUGCCAAAUUUGGUAAAGUGCGGGUAAAUUGAUUUUUGGUUGUCCUUUUUCUUUACAAUUGGUCGUGGAGCUUCUUGGAUUAAACUUGUAAAGAGUAGUAUUGGAAAGCCUCAUUUUUGUAAGAUGCUCUGGUAUUUCCGAGUAGAAGAAAGCAAAGCCAACAAUGGUCGUUAGAAAUUAUUAGUACUCUACAAAAUUUGUAACACAUCAUAUUAAUUGGGAACUCAAAUCUUGGUUGCAAAAUUUAGAUCUGUGCUAUAAAUGCAGGCAAUACAAAAGGUAGGAAGACCAUACGAAGACCAAUACAAAUAGGAGGAUGCAUGAGCUUCAGAUAUGAUUGAAUUCAGUCUGAAGAUGGAGACUUGAAGGAGGAAUUAGUGGAGAAUGGGAAGGUGGAUAGAACAUGGGAACCAAUCAAAUACGUGUAGGUAUGACAUGGUGCUUUUUUUAAUCUCUUGCGGAUGUCAAUAUUUUUCUACAGUUACAUAUAUAAAACUGAAUCACAAAGGAUUUUAUUUUUGAUUAGGUACACCAUAGAAUAGUCUCACAUCUUGGUUUAUUUAUUACCCUGUUUAAAUAUCAACCAACAUGCUUGUCAAAUUUGUAAUUUAUAAUUUGUUAUUUGCUUGCCUCAAGGCAAUAUUCUCCCAAGAUAUAUAUCUCUCUGUGUGUGUGUGUGUACUUGGACAGAAACACUUCCCAUACCCGAGGUCUCAGUUAAUGUACUGCUGUUGAAUUCUUCUGUCACUUUUGAUACAAAGCUAUAGCUAUACUUUCAUUUGCCAAGAAGAUAAAAUAGGUUAAAUACUGUGAUUUAGUUACUUUCAGAUUUUGGUAUAUUUUGAGAAGUGCUCCACAAAUAUGAAUGAAAGGAGCUUGUAUUUGAGGUAAUAGUCUAGGAAGUUUUAUUUAAGAUAUCAUCUGUGUCAAUGAAAAAUAGUACUAGACGUGUGAAUAAAGGCCACCUAUGACAUACAAAGUACUGUAAUAAAAUCGGAGGGCUGGGGAAGUGUUGGACUGGAGCCUCGCCCCCAUGCGGUAUGCUCUGUCCAAGUACGUGCUCCUGUUCGCCACAUCUGCAUACUGGAUGAAACCUGCGUGCUAAUUGCGUAUUAUGUGCAAGUCAGUAUUGAACGCUCUGUAUUAUUGUUCCAGAGAAGUAAGUUUCAACAGUUUCCGUGACAUUUCAUGUAUGUUCCAUGCAGUAGUCUAGGUGGGAAUUAUAUUGAUGAUUUCAUUUUACCUUCAUAUCUGCUGAAUUUUCUUACCAAACACAAAAGCUUUGUGUCUUGAGGUGUUGAUAGAAGUGAACAUAAUUCAUGAUACAAUCCUGAUACUCUGAAAAUAUUUUUAUGGUUCAGUAUUCCUACGAGGGGAGUGAGUAUGAGUGGAUCAACACGUGGAGCAGCUGCUGCCUAUGAGGCGAGUGAGUGGAGACGGCCUGAUCUGUGCAGCGGAGGGGCUAUAGAAGCUCGAACGAAAGAUUCGUCGCCAGCAUCGGAGCAAUUUAUUGGGCAGAUCGAUACUAAAGCUCAUGCAUGGACGUGAAGGCAUGUCUUUAUUAAGUUCAAUCUUUGGAAACUUGGCAUGUGACGCUGUGUAAAAAUAGAAGAUGCUAGAAAAUUGUCUCUGGCCAAUUUCGUAUGUAGCUGUGAGCAUUGCUAAUUUUUGUCAACAUGAAUGAUAUUUGGACUAUUUAUAUAGCUACCAUGUGCUGAACAAAUUGUCUGAUUAAUGUAACCCUCCCGAAUAGAUUGGUGUGUGUGCCAUGUCAUUUGGUCUGCGUUACACUAACAGAAUCAUUUUGUCAAUGCCCGGUCCAUUAAUACUCUUUCAAAAUUUUG
Molecule: long non-coding RNA, 1887 nt
Filed under: Triticum aestivum (bread wheat)
Lineage: Eukaryota; Viridiplantae; Streptophyta; Magnoliopsida; Poales; Poaceae
Description: long non-coding RNA (TAES_LNC009438)
Source: RNAcentral